This 867-nucleotide ribosomal RNA is filed under the name Triticum aestivum (bread wheat). RNAcentral describes it as "partial small subunit ribosomal RNA". Lineage: Eukaryota; Viridiplantae; Streptophyta; Magnoliopsida; Poales; Poaceae. The record is from RNAcentral.
AUGGAGGAUUUCCUGCGGCGACGAGAUCUUCCAAACUCCUGCCGCCGUCGGGCCGAGACCGACGACGUCGACCCUUUGCUGCAGAUUCUGGUGGGCUACACCGCUCACAGCCGCAAGGCUCGGGCGCUCAUAUUCAACACGGCGGCGUCACUGGAGCGGUCGGCGCUCGCGCACAUCGCGCCGCAUAUGCGCGACGUCUUCGCCAUAGGCCCUCUCCACGCCGUCUCGGCGGCGCCGGCGCCGGCCACCAGUUUGUGGCGCGAGGACGACGGGUGCAUGGCGUGGCUGGACGGCCAGGCGGACCGGUCCGUGGUGUACGUGAGCCUGGGCAGCCUGGCCGUCAUUUCACUCGAGCAGUUCACCGAGUUCCUGUCUGGGCUGGUCGGCUCCGGCUACGCGUUUCUGUGGGUGCUCCGGCCGGACAUGGUCGGGGCAAGCCAGAGCGCCGUCCUCCAGGAAGCCGUCGGCGCGGCGGGGAAGGGCAAGGCGCGUGUCGUGGACUGGGCGCCGCAGCGAGACGUGCUGAGACACCGCGCCGUGGGCUGCUUCCUGACUCACGCCGGGUGGAACUCGACGCUGGAGGGGAUCACUGAGGGCGUGCCGCUGGUGUGCUGGCCGUUCUUCGCGGACCAGCACAUCAACAGCCGGUUCGUCGGCGCCGUAUGGGGGACGGGGCUGGACAUGAAGGACGUGUGCGAGAGGGCCGUCGUGGAGGGGAUGGUGAGGCGGGCCAUGGAGUCCGGCCAGCUAAGGAUGUCGGCUCAAGCGCUAUCGCAGAAGGUGAGGCGGGACAUCGCGGAGGGAGGCUCGUCGGCGACGGAGUUCCAACGGCUCAUCGGCUUCAUCAAGGAGUUCGGCAAGAAUUAA